Arabidopsis thaliana (thale cress) is the source of this 101-nucleotide microRNA precursor. It matches the Rfam family "MIR5649 microRNA precursor family". Lineage: Eukaryota; Viridiplantae; Streptophyta; Magnoliopsida; Brassicales; Brassicaceae. The record is from Rfam.
UUCAUAUUAUAGUAACCAACAUAUUCAAUACUUUCAAAUGAAGAAAAAUAAUUGGCAUCUUCAUUUGAAAGUAUUGAAUAUGUUGGUUACUAUAAUAUGAA